AAGGAAGGCAGGCAGGCAUAAGUAUCUGAACCCUCAAUUAUUUGAGGCACACUCCUUACCCUGAAUGUAGGUACACAAAUGUGAUUGAGCUGAGCAGCAAUUUGGCAAAUGGGGGUAUCAUUUGUGUGUCCAGAGUAUGUAUUACUAGGCUUGCUCCACUUUAUGUGUCCCAACACUUUGAAAUGUUGUUAUUGUUGUUGUUGUUGUUGUUGUUAUUGUUUAAGUAAUCUCUAUGCCCAGCGCCCAACAUGGGGCUCAAACUCAUCACCUGAAGAUCAAGAGUCACACACUCCCCAAACUAAGCCAGCCAGGUGUCUCUCUGUCCCAAACCUUUUAAAAAGUAGUAUAUAGAGUCUAGAAUCCUUAGGAUCCCAUUUGGGCCAAUUUGUAUUGAGAUCUUAUAAAAACUCAGUUGAUAUAUAUUAUGAUUCAUUUGUCACUAAGAUAGUGCCUGCCUAAAUGUAUUUAAGCUGCUUAAAUUGCUCCCUAUGAGACCGCGUUGACUGUCCUAACAAGUUGUUUUGUUUUGUUUUGUUUUGUUUUGUUUUGUUUUGUUUUGUUUUGUUUUAAUUCAGAAACGCAUGAUACAAGCUUCUGAGAAGGUUGCAUUUCAACUUGAUUUAUUUCUAGUGCAAGAACGCAAGUUCCUGGAUUCUGUUUGUACUACGUGCUUCCUUGCCUUCACCUCUAGUUCAGUAUCACCACCCCUCUGGGAAGUAUAUGAGGGGGAGUGCCAUUUUACACCCAAGGACGGUGAGGGUUAGCUUGUGCAAGAUCACUCAGUAAGAAGCAAGUGCAAGAUAAAAGCCUUCACUCCUUAAAGAGUAGUACUUUUCUCAUCAGCACAGAACCAAGAGAGGCCACGCGUAUGAGACUCCAAACAUUCUUAUUUUGAAGGUGAUUACUCGAAAUGUUAAGACCUGAGCUAUGGAGGCUGUUUAUAUCGGUAACCCAACCAAUGGCCGCCUGCUUUAAAUUUGCUCAAAAUCCCCAAGGCAAGUCCUGAGCCCUGUCUCCUAUGUUUUAUGCAGAGACACCUCAAAGUAUAUUUUGCCAGACUACAAGAAUAGUGAGGCCUGCCAGAUCAGAUUUUCCCAGUUACCAGAAGCUUCUCACCUCACCUCUACUUCAGCCUCUCUGAGUCAUAACCAGUCACCCUAAAACCUAGCUUCUCUGCACUUUCUGAAUAUGGAAAUGACAAUCCUGACUUACAACACCAGGACCUGUUAAAAAGAUUGAUUUUGUAAGAAAAAUUGCAUAACUAAAGGCACCGUGGAAAGAACCUCUGAGGAGAAAAACUAGGGGACUUGUGAUAACUUCCAAAGAACAAAGCCCUCACAGGCGAGGGUGAGGGCCUCAGCACAGUCUUUUCACAGAGAUGAAGAAUCGGAAGUCUAACUGGUGGCUCACCUCAGGAGGUGAUUUUGAUUGUCAUUUUCCAUCUGUUUUGUGGAGAAUUAAAAUGAUGAAAGGUAUUUCAGACGGCAAUAAUCAUGGCCACGUAACUUGGUGUUCUGGAGCUCUGGCAACUGACAAACCCCUUUUCAAACCCACUUUGACAGACUGUCGCUUGGAAUACAUUGGGGGUAUCUUGUCCUUUGUAGGUGCCUCACAAACAUUUAUGAAAAUAAUGUCAGAAAAUGAGUUAGAGAGAUCUACUGAGGUGUGGGUUGUUUGUGUUUGAGAAACCUUGAUGCUGAUCCUAAAACACUAAAUAACACUCCCGAGUUCUCACAUGUAUCAGGCACCGUGCCAAGUGUCUUACCACAGUGCUUUCCCAGGUGUGGUUCCCUGACCCGCAGCCUGGGCACCACCUGGGAACUUGUCAAGAAUGCAGAUUCUCUGGGGGCGCCUGGGUGGCUCAGUUGGUUUGGCGUCUGACUUCAGCUCAGGUCAUGAUCUCACAGUUCGUGGGUUCGAGCCCUGCGUCGGGCUCUGUGCU
Felis catus (domestic cat) is the source of this 1942-nucleotide long non-coding RNA. RefSeq lists it as uncharacterized. The record is from RefSeq and is a predicted model, not a curated record. NCBI's taxonomy places the organism in Eukaryota, Metazoa, Chordata, Mammalia, Carnivora, Felidae. The transcript has 3 exons.